AGUAUUGUAAAGGCGCCAACGAUGUUGUCUUCGUCUCGCACAACGCAAAUUUAUUCAAAGACCCACUGCCACAUUUUGAUACGCUCCCAAGCAGCUAAACACGUUUCGUAUGCUUGCAUGUCCAUUUCGUAAUGCCCCCGAUCAGGAACUAAGGUCUGUCCACGCGAGAUGGCGGCGAUAAAGAACAUCACCCUGGGCAUUCUGUACGGCCUGUGGGACAGCAUACGUGGCAUGACACUGGUCCUGCAUAUCGAUGACGAGGUGAACCGCCAGAAUGCCGAGCAGGAGCACCGCCAACAGCUGCGUCGCACCGACAAGGAUCGUUACGAACGCGCCAGGAGGUCACCGUCACCAGUGCCCAGUUCUGCGGCUGCUAUGAUUCGGGAAGAGUACGCCAAGCAGGCGGAGGAGAAUGCCGACGAGCGGACGCUGGAGAAGAUCCUGGGCAAGAAGCCAGCCACCCAGGAUCAACAGCCGCAGGGGGAAAAGAAGAUCGCCAAGAAGCUGUUCAAGUGCUGUAUGCUUAAUGGCGGUUUCACCUGGCUGAGCAUCGUCCUGUUCGAAUCCGCUCUGCUGCCCACGCUUAAAUUCUGCCUCACCAUCUUCUAUGGAGCCCAAUCCGAGACCCUGCCGGUGGUUUGGGGCUGGCUGCAUCCCAUCCUGUCCCUGCUUUUCGGCAUGAUGUGGGUACUGCCCAUCUUCAUGUUGUCCAAGAUUGUGAGCUCUCUGUGGUUUGCGGACAUAGCCAAUGCUGCCUAUCGCGUGAGAAAGGGACGUCCGCAGCUGAUCCCCGGGAUCAGCAAGCUGGUGGCCGACUUCCUAUUCAGCAUGGUGGUGCAAAUGCUGUUCCUGGUCCAGAGCAUGCUAGUUAACCUAGUGCCUGUCAAGUAUGUGGGCUCAUCGCUGUGCUUCGUGCAUCUGUGCCUUCUCUACUCACUGUACUCCUUCGAGUACAAGUGGUUCAACAUGGGCUGGGAGCUACAUAGACGCCUCACGUACAUUGAGAAGAACUGGCCCUAUUUCUUCGGCUUCGGAAUACCGCUUACCGUGCUGACAAAUCUGUCCAGCUCGGUGAUCGUCAGCAGCUGCAUCUUUUCAAUCUUCUUUCCCCUAUUCAUACUCAGCGGUAAUGAGGCAAAACCCAUUGUGGACACCACUGAGGUCUCCCUGCGUCUCUUCUCGCCGGUGGUCUUCAUAUCGAACCUGUGCUUCGGCGGCAAUCCGUGGAGCAAGGCCAACCGACUGAGUGCCAUGCAGCGGCAGCAGUAUGAGCUGCAGCAGCGCCAGCGUUUGCUCCAGCGCGACGAGCAGCUCCUCAAGCAGCGCAAGCAGCAAUAUGUGCAGCAGCAACGGCUGCAACAGGAGCAGCUGAUGCGACGCGAUCGCUCUCAUUCGCGGUCACAGACACCGCAGCUGGGACAUCCCCAUCGCUACGCCCAGGCGCCCGUUUUCGAUGCGGGACGGGUGCGCGACUCCUCUGCCUCGUCCACGCACAGCUCCAACGCGCCGAGCAUUAAUAGCCACCGGCCGCCGCCUUAUUACGGGAGCUCGCUGCGCGGAGCCGCACCUUUGGUGCCCACUCCCGUGCCCGGUGCACCGAGAGCUCCGCUAACCCCGCCCGUGAUACGCCAGGAGUCGGGGCCUGAUGACUGGAACUUGUGAGAUUUAUGCUUAUACACGCAACGUAGGCUUUAGUUAUAUAUAAUUCGAUCUGUGUAAUGUCUACGCAUAAUGACAAUGUUCGCUAGUCGACACCGCCACCACCACCACAACGCCCCAUUCGGAACGGGCAUGACUAUAUAUACAUAGAGUGGCUAUAUCUGAAAUGCGGCUCGCGCAACUGCUGCAUAAUCUUAUAGAUGUUUAUUUUAGGCGGCGUUUUUCUCUUUAAUUUUUGCUCGUAGGGUGUUAUGCUCUACACUAGAAAUUACGUCGGGCGUAAAGUUCGUUUAAUGUAUAAUUAAUCAAAAAUAAAAUUAAUUUUGUACUUUCGUCAA
Molecule: unclassified non-coding RNA, 1997 nt
Filed under: Drosophila yakuba
Lineage: Eukaryota; Metazoa; Arthropoda; Insecta; Diptera; Drosophilidae
Description: GE14670
Source: RNAcentral